CGGUUAAGUUAGAAAGGGCGCACGGUGGAUGCCUUGGCACUAGGAGCCGAUGAAGGACGGGACGAACACCGAUAUGCUUCGGGGAGCUGUAAGCAAGCUUUGAUCCGGAGAUUUCCGAAUGGGGAAACCCACCACUCGUAAUGGAGUGGUAUCCAUAUUUGAAUACAUAGGAUAUGAGAAGGCAGACCCGGGGAACUGAAACAUCUAAGUACCCGGAGGAAGAGAAAGCAAAUGCGAUUCCCUGAGUAGCGGCGAGCGAAACGGGACCAGCCCAAACCAAGAGGCUUGCCUCUUGGGGUUGUAGGACACUCUGUACGGAGUUACAAAGGAACGAGGUAGAUGAAGAGGUCUGGAAAGGCCCGCCAUAGGAGGUAACAGCCCUGUAGUCAAAACUUCGUUCUCUCCUGAGUGGAUCCUGAGUACGGCGGAACACGUGAAAUUCCGUCGGAAUCCGGGAGGACCAUCUCCCAAGGCUAAAUACUCCCUAGUGACCGAUAGUGAACCAGUACCGUGAGGGAAAGGUGAAAAGCACCCCGGAAGGGGAGUGAAAGAGAUCCUGAAACCGUGUGCCUACAAGUAGUCAGAGCCCGUUAACGGGUGAUGGCGUGCCUUUUGUAGAAUGAACCGGCGAGUUACGAUCCCGUGCAAGGUUAAGCAGAAGAUGCGGAGCCGCAGCGAAAGCGAGUCUGAAUAGGGCGAAUUGAGUACGUGGUCGUAGACCCGAAACCAGGUGAUCUACCCAUGUCCAGGGUGAAGUUCAGGUAACACUGAAUGGAGGCCCGAACCCACGCACGUUGAAAAGUGCGGGGAUGAGGUGUGGGUAGGGGUGAAAUGCCAAUCGAACCUGGAGAUAGCUGGUUCUCUCCGAAAUAGCUUUAGGGCUAGCCUCAAGGUAAGAGUCUCGGAGGUAGAGCACUGAUUGGACUAGGGGCCCCUACCGGGUUACCGAAUUCAGUCAAACUCCGAAUGCCGAUGACUUAUCCUUGGGAGUCAGACUGCGAGUGAUAAGAUCCGUAGUCGAAAGGGAAACAGCCCAGACCGCCAGCUAAGGUCCCAAAGUAUACGUUAAGUGGAAAAGGAUGUGGAGUUGCUUAGACAACCAGGAUGUUGGCUUAGAAGCAGCCACCAUUUAAAGAGUGCGUAAUAGCUCACUGGUCGAGUGACUCUGCGCCGAAAAUGUACCGGGGCUAAACGUAUCACCGAAGCUGCGGACUGUUCUUCGAACAGUGGUAGGAGAGCGUUCUAAGGGCUGUGAAGCAAGACCGGAAGGACUUGUGGAGCGCUUAGAAGUGAGAAUGCCGGUAUGAGUAGCGAAAGAGGGGUGAGAAUCCCCUCCACCGAAUGCCUAAGGUUUCCUGAGGAAGGCUCGUCCGCUCAGGGUUAGUCGGGACCUAAGCCGAGGCCGAAAGGCGUAGGCGAUGGAUAACAGGUUGAUAUUCCUGUACCACCUCCUCACCAUUUGAGCAAUGGGGGGACGCAGGAGGAUAGGGUAAGCGCGGUAUUGGAUAUCCGCGUCCAAGCAGUUAGGCUGGGAAAUAGGCAAAUCCGUUUCCCGUGAAGGCUGAGCUGUGAUGGCGAGCGAAUUAUAGUAGCGAAGUUCCUGAUUCCACACUGCCAAGAAAAGCCUCUAGCGAGGUGAGAGGUGCCCGUACCGCAAACCGACACAGGUAGGCGAGGAGAGAAUCCUAAGGUGAUCGAGAGAACUCUCGUUAAGGAACUCGGCAAAAUGACCCCGUAACUUCGGGAGAAGGGGUGCUCUGUUAGGGUGCAAGCCCGAGAGAGCCGCAGUGAAUAGGCCCAGGCGACUGUUUAGCAAAAACACAGGUCUCUGCGAAGCCGUAAGGCGAAGUAUAGGGGCUGACGCCUGCCCGGUGCUGGAAGGUUAAGAGGAGCGCUUAGCGUAAGCGAAGGUGCGAAUUGAAGCCCCAGUAAACGGCGGCCGUAACUAUAACGGUCCUAAGGUAGCGAAAUUCCUUGUCGGGUAAGUUCCGACCCGCACGAAAGGCGCAACGAUCUGGGCACUGUCUCAACGAGAGACUCGGUGAAAUUAUAGUACCUGUGAAGAUGCAGGUUACCCGCGACAGGACGGAAAGACCCCGUGGAGCUUUACUGCAGCCUGAUAUUGAAUGUUGGUACAGCUUGUACAGGAUAGGUAGGAGCCUUGGAAACCGGAGCGCCAGCUUCGGUGGAGGCAUCGGUGGGAUACUACCCUGGCUGUAUUGACCUUCUAACCCGCCGCCCUUAUCGGGCGGGGAGACAGUGUCAGGUGGGCAGUUUGACUGGGGCGGUCGCCUCCUAAAAGGUAACGGAGGCGCCCAAAGGUUCCCUCAGAAUGGUUGGAAAUCAUUCGCAGAGUGUAAAGGCACAAGGGAGCUUGACUGCGAGACCUACAAGUCGAGCAGGGACGAAAGUCGGGCUUAGUGAUCCGGUGGUUCCGCAUGGAAGGGCCAUCGCUCAACGGAUAAAAGCUACCCCGGGGAUAACAGGCUUAUCUCCCCCAAGAGUCCACAUCGACGGGGAGGUUUGGCACCUCGAUGUCGGCUCAUCGCAUCCUGGGGCUGUAGUCGGUCCCAAGGGUUGGGCUGUUCGCCCAUUAAAGCGGUACGCGAGCUGGGUUCAGAACGUCGUGAGACAGUUCGGUCCCUAUCCGUCGCGGGCGCAGGAAAUUUGAGAGGAGCUGUCCUUAGUACGAGAGGACCGGGAUGGACGCACCGCUGGUGUACCAGUUGUUCUGCCAAGGGCAUCGCUGGGUAGCUAUGUGCGGACGGGAUAAGUGCUGAAAGCAUCUAAGCAUGAAGCCCCCCUCAAGAUGAGAUUUCCCAUUCCGCAAGGAAGUAAGAUCCCUGAAAGAUGAUCAGGUUGAUAGGUCUGAGGUGGAAGUGUGGCGACACAUGGAGCUGACAGAUACUAAUCGAUCGAGGACUUAACCAAUUU
RNAcentral lists this ribosomal RNA (2934 nucleotides) under Bacillus velezensis. Its description in RNAcentral is "23S ribosomal RNA". It matches the Rfam family "Bacterial large subunit ribosomal RNA". The record is from RNAcentral. Lineage: Bacteria; Bacillati; Bacillota; Bacilli; Caryophanales; Bacillaceae.